GGUGGUAAUGCCGGAUGCUCCAUCACACCGCAUGGUGUGUUGGGAAAGCCUUUGCGGCAUGGGAUGGGGUCGCGUCCUAUCAGCUUGAUGGCGGGGUAACGGCCCACCAUGGCUUCGACGGGUAGCCGGCCUGAGAGGGCGACCGGCCACAUUGGGACUGAGAUACGGCCCAGACUCCUACGGGAGGCAGCAGUGGGGAAUAUUGCACAAUGGGCGCAAGCCUGAUGCAGCGACGCCGCGUGAGGGAUGGAGGCCUUCGGGUUGUAAACCUCUUUUAUCAGGGAGCAAGGCUUCGGUUGAGUGUACCUGUUGAAUAAGCACCGGCUAACUACGUGCCAGCAGCCGCGGUAAUACGUAGGGUGCAAGCGUUAUCCGGAAUUAUUGGGCGUAAAGGGCUCGUAGGCGGUUCGUCGCGUCCGGUGUGAAAGUCCAUCGCUUAACGGUGGAUCCGCGCCGGGUACGGGCGGGCUUGAGUGCGGUAGGGGAGACUGGAAUUCCCGGUGUAACGGUGGAAUGUGUAGAUAUC
Molecule: ribosomal RNA, 526 nt
Filed under: Bifidobacterium breve
Lineage: Bacteria; Bacillati; Actinomycetota; Actinomycetes; Bifidobacteriales; Bifidobacteriaceae
Description: bacterial SSU rRNA
Rfam family: Bacterial small subunit ribosomal RNA
Source: RNAcentral